This 218-nucleotide unclassified non-coding RNA is filed under the name uncultured Tomentella. RNAcentral describes it as "sequence contains ITS2". The record is from RNAcentral. Lineage: Eukaryota; Fungi; Basidiomycota; Agaricomycetes; Thelephorales; Thelephoraceae. RNAcentral also lists the same sequence under 1 other name.
ACACCUCAACUCCUCAUGGCUUGCCAUGAUGAGCUUGGACUUGGGGGUCUUGCUGGCCUGUGGUCAGCUCCUCUCAAAUGAAUCAGCUUGCCAGUGAUUGGUGGCACCACAGGUGUGAUAAACAUCUACGCUUGUGGUUCCCCACCAUGUAACCUUUAGCGAUAGAGGUUCGCUGGAGCUCACAAAUGUCUUUCCUCAGUGAAGACAGCUCUUUGAUU